Molecule: ribosomal RNA, 500 nt
Filed under: uncultured bacterium
Lineage: Bacteria
Description: bacterial SSU rRNA
Rfam family: Bacterial small subunit ribosomal RNA
Source: RNAcentral
CUACGUGCCAGCAGCCGCGGUAAUACGUAGGUCCCGAGCGUUGUCCGGAUUUAUUGGGCGUAAAGCGAGCGCAGGCGGUUAGAUAAGUCUGAAGUUAAAGGCUGUGGCUUAACCAUAGUACGCUUUGGAAACUGUUUAACUUGAGUGCAAGAGGGGAGAGUGGAAUUCCAUGUGUAGCGGUGAAAUGCGUAGAUAUAUGGAGGAACACCGGUGGCGAAAGCGGCUCUCUGGCUUGUAACUGACGCUGAGGCUCGAAAGCGUGGGGAGCAAACAGGAUUAGAUACCCUGGUAGUCCACGCCGUAAACGAUGAGUGCUAGGUGUUAGACCCUUUCCGGGGUUUAGUGCCGCAGCUAACGCAUUAAGCACUCCGCCUGGGGAGUACGACCGCAAGGUUGAAACUCAAAGGAAUUGACGGGGGCCCGCACAAGCGGUGGAGCAUGUGGUUUAAUUCGAUGCAACGCGAAGAACCUUACCUACUCUUGACAUCCAGAGAACAUUC